This 252-nucleotide ribosomal RNA is filed under the name uncultured bacterium. RNAcentral's name for it is "partial 16S ribosomal RNA". It matches the Rfam family "Bacterial small subunit ribosomal RNA", at positions 524 to 775 of the family's 1533-position model. The record is from RNAcentral.
UACGAAGGGGGCGAGCGUUGUUCGGAUUUACUGGGCGUAAAGGGCGCGCAGGCGGCCAUUUAAGUCAGGCGUGAAAGCCCCGGGCUCAACCUGGGAACUGCGCUUGGGACUGGAUGGCUCGAGUUCGGGAGAGGAGAGUGGAAUUCCCAGUGUAGAGGUGAAAUUCGUAGAUAUUGGGAAGAACACCGGUGGCGAAGGCGGCUCUCUGGACCGAAACUGACGCUGAGGCGCGAAAGCGUGGGGAGCAAACAG